Molecule: long non-coding RNA, 13604 nt
Filed under: Coffea arabica (coffee)
Lineage: Eukaryota; Viridiplantae; Streptophyta; Magnoliopsida; Gentianales; Rubiaceae
Description: long non-coding RNA (CARA_LNC001025)
Source: RNAcentral
UUUUUUUUUUUUUUUUUUUGGUUUUUAGAAUGGCAAUGAGCUCCUGUAAUAUAUUACUAUAUCCAAAAUAUUGUCUAGAAUAAUCUCAAGUUAAGGAAGUGAACACCUGUCUGCAAAAUUAUACUCUAUAAUUAAUGAUGCAGUAGUGUAUGGUUACCAUACAAAGACUUCGUUGACUUGACUCUGCAGAAUGAUCAUCAUGUAUUCUCUUCAUACUGCUUUCUAAGGACUACUAAGGAGAGGGGGCAGGCUUUGUUAGUUAUGUCUACGAUUAUAUUAUAUAGUCAAACACCACGUCAGUUACAUAUUCUACUGCAAACGCGUUUUCCAUUCUUUUUCUUAACUCUGGCUAGUGGCGACUGAGCCUGAGGGCUACCUAACUCGUGGCGGAUUCUUCUUUUUUUUUUUCAUAUUUUUCAGGCUCUCAAUCUUUCAUUGGCGUGAAUUAUGGACAAGUCGCCGACAACUUGCCCCCGCCCGCUGCCACCGCGAAGCUACUCCAGUCCACUAGCAUUGAGAAGGUCAGACUGUACGGAGCCGAUCCAGCUAUCAUCAGAGCCUUGGCCGAUACCGGCAUCGGCAUUGUUAUUGGCGCAGCCAACGGAGACAUUCCCGCGCUUGCCUCCGACCCUAAUUUCGCGGGACAAUGGGUCGCCACCAACGUCUUGCCUUAUUACCCAGCUAGCAAAAUUCUCGUCAUCACCGUCGGUAAUGAGGUCAUGACCGCCACCGACCAAAACCUUAUUUCUCAACUCUUACCGGCGAUGCAAAAUGUCCAAAACGCCCUCAAUGCUGGUCGCUCCUCUUCAGCUACUCCCAAUACUUUUCACUCUCGUCUUCUUCAGUAUUGCUUUCUUAUUUUUGAAAAAAAAAAUUUUGAUAAGAAAACGGAUUGAUAACAAAAAAAAAUUAUUUGAAUCUGCAGCUUCGCUUGGUGGGAAAAUUAAGGUGUCGACGGUUCAUUCAAUGGCCGUGUUGACUCAGUCCGACCCGCCAUCAUCCGGAACAUUUAACCCGGGUUUCGGGGGCACAAUGAAAGCGUUAUUGCAAUUUCAUCAAGCCAACGGUUCCCCUUUUAUGAUAAACCCGUAUCCGUAUUUUGCAUACCAGAGUGAUCCACGGGCCGAGACGUUGGCUUUCUGUCUCUUCCAACCCAAUGCUGGACGAGUCGACUCAGGAACGGGUAUUAAGUACAUGAACAUGUUUGAUGCUCAGGUUAGUUAUAAUUACCUGGUCCCACUUACAGCCUGGACGCAUUGAAGUUAGUGUCCUAAUUUGUCUUGCAUGACCUUUUUUUUUUUGGCCUUUUUGUUUUUCCCCUGCGCAAAAUCGAUGUCGGCGGCUGUUACUUCAACUGCAAGUAGUGAUACUGCCAGUUAAUAUACGUUAAUUUUUUUUUUUUUGAAGGAAGUAUACGUUAAGUUAAUUACAAGCUCCUCUUGGACUGGUAGUUUGUCACUUAAUUUUCGAUGAGUUUCAGGUGGAAAAUAUCUUCAAAAUUAAUUGAGAUCCCAAAUGGAAUAUCUUAUUUACUUGGGACCAUUGUCGCAUUUUUCUUAUCGUAGUAAUUUUAUUUACCUAAUAAGAGUCAAGUGGCAGCAGCAGCAGCAGAUGGACUACAUGAUUUUGAGUGUUAGCAUAUUGGUUCAUGUUAAGUUGAAGGGGCAUCUGGAUGGUGGGUGGGUCAUCGAUAUUUUUGUACCGAAAGUUUGCCUCUAUUUCAAGCUGAGCAUCAUUUCUAUGCAGUAAGGUAACAAAAAAUUGACUAUACCUACUACUAAGACUGCAAUUGUCAUACAAUUUUCGAGCAUAUCCUUAUCCAGCAGCAACUGUAUGAUUACCGUGGCCUCUUAUGGUGGAAAUUGUCCUGCUUCAAAGCAUAUUGCCUGCCUGGAGCCCAACUUUCCAUAGAUGACAGGCUGGCAAUGCUAAUAAUUGUAGCGAACAGAAACCAGAGAAGCUUGUCCGGCAAUUGGGUUUUGUUUGAUCUGGACUAUAUGGGUGUAAAAUUUUCUCGUUAGAUUUCUUUGAACAAGGGACCACUAGUUGUGGACCUGAUAUUUCAUCACAAUUUAUGCUUUUUUUUAAAAAAAAAAAUUAUUUCAUUGUAGAUAACAAGGACCGCCAACGGGGAUUAUAAUUAUUCUCACUAACCAACUUACCUUCCCAAGUGCUUCGAGGGGUUAACAAAAUUUACCUUCCGUGUGCACUAAUGUAGGUGGAUGCAGUACAUUCUGCCCUCAAUGCAUUGGGAUUCAAGGAUGUCGAGAUUGUGGUUGCAGAGACAGGGUGGCCAUACAAGGGAGAUCCCACUGAAGUUGGCCCAAGUCUGGACAAUGCAAAAGCCUUCAACGGGAACUUGAUAAGCCACCUCAGAUCAUUGGUUGGCACUCCCCUGAUGCCUGGAAAGUCUGUUGACACCUAUAUAUUUGCCCUCUUUGAUGAGGAUUUGAAACCCGGGCCAAGCUCAGAACGGUCAUUUGGGCUCUUCAAGCCUGAUCUCUCUGUGACUUAUGAUGUUGAUCUUUCAAAGAACAGUCAGGUAAUCACCAUCGAUCGAUGCAGGACCUGUAGUAAUUUAAUUCACAAGUAAAUUCCUCAAAAUGUUUAGAGAGCCUUAAAUAGUUUAACGGAAUCAGCUGAUAGUCCAGUCUUAGCACGUGCAUUGCUGGUAGUUUUCAUACAUCAACAUAAGUUCGGUAACCGCUGAUGUGGUCUCGCCUGAAUAUAGCAGCAACGCUUAAGAGAAAUUGGUUUGAUUUUCAUAAAUCUUUCUAGUAAAUAGAUAGAUAUUUGCAACCAGGGAAUACCUUGAACUUCAUCAAAGUUAUGUUGGAAUUUAUAGCUCAUGUUACGAUCUGGGUUGCAUUUGCUAACUAAUAACAUCGUGGCCAAUCUUCCUCCCAGACUCCUACAACUCCAGCAACUCCGGCAACUCCUGCCCCUGUGAGUCCCACAACUCCCAUAACCCCAGUUACACCAGUACCAAAGCCAGCAGCUGGUUGGUGUGUGCCCAAACCGGGUGUUUCUGAUGCUCAAUUGCAGUCAAAUCUUGACUAUGCCUGUGCCCAAGGUAUUGAUUGUAGUCCAAUUCAAACUGGUGGAACAUGUUUUGACCCAAAUACUGUGGCAGCACAUGCUGCCUAUGCAAUGAAUCUCCUCUAUCAAACUGCUGGCAGGAAUCCUUGGAACUGCGAUUUCCUGCAGACCGCCACUCUUACUUAUACUAAUCCAAGUAAGACCAUUCAUUUCUUCAGGUUAAACUUGUUCGGUUUCAUGUCAAUACAUAAGAACCGGUUUUUUUGUCAAUGUGGUAUCUUUACCUUGUGAAUGGGAUUGGUUUUUGUGUUUUGGGGGGGGGGGGGGGGGGGGGAGGGGGAGGGGUUGUGGGAUAAAUUUGCGUUGUAUAUGCCCUGCCAGUUCUGUGAGUGCAACAGGUGGCAGAAUAUUUUUCCGCACUAGUGUUACUAGAAUUCCAUUCAGCAUUAUUCGACGGUCAAAAUUUACACGAGCAUUGCAUCGGACUGUCUUUUCCUUUUACCUCCUAGGCAAAUAUUGAUGGUAACAAUUUUCUCGUUUCUUGCGCUCCGAAAUUUUCCGCUCUUGCAGGCUAUGGUCAGUGCAGUUAUCCUGGUGGCAAUACAUGAAGAGAAAGGGGAUAUUAUUUGGAUAGCUGAGGUAAUAAUAAGCUUGAGUGUCAUUGGCCAGCAGAAGUAAUCAUUUCAUGAUAUAUAGCUAAACAAUCGUCAAGUUGUGAAUUUCAUUCUAUUGAAGGAAAGGGCAGGGCAGAAAAUAAGCCUUUUUGUCUGUUCUAUUUUAUUUGGCUUUCAUUUCUGUGGCUUGUUUUCUCCUCCGCUCACCCCAGUCAACCUACCUUGGCGCCCCCGCUCCCUUCCAAACAAAGCCCCCCCCCCCCCCCCCCAAAAAAAAAAAGGGAAAAUCAAUUAAGAAACACAUUAGUACUACAAGUCUGCAAGAGGUCAAAUGGAAAUAUUAAAACGUUUAAGAUUCAGAAAUGCUUGUGAAUUGUAUGCGGCCUAAUUUUCAAAAAGUUUAGUUGGUCUCAUUUUCUUCUAUAUGCGAUCAGCAUUAAAUAAAUCACUCUUGAAACCGAGAUUAUUCACAUUUAUUUGUAAUGUUUAAGGUGCUCUAAAAGCUUAAACAAUUACUGUAUGAAUUCGCUUCCCGACAGUUGUUUGCUUAAGCCCAACUGGCAAAUUAGACUAAAAAACAAUUAAAGAUAUAAGUUGAUGCCACGUGGCAAUAUUUGAGUAGAUUGUAAAUUGAUUGUUUUUUUUUUCCUCUGUAUCUCCCUGAGAAAACUAAUACGUACCUACCAUUAAGAGGGAAAAAAAACACCCAUUAAGAGGAAAACUUUGGGAUCUAUUAUUUGAUGUUUCUAUUUCGUCUUUGGACGAUUAUCGCAUCAUACUCCUACCUCGUCCAAGUGACGUAACAUGAUGAGAAAAUUUUGAGCAUAACACCAUGUGCCUUUAAAUAUGGUUGUUAUGUGUUGGUGAUCCAGUGGUUGAGAGGAGGAAGCGACCCCCAUAGGGGCCAGUGUUUUUAAAGGAUAAAAACAAUUUCAAUUCAACGCGUUUGGUGGGUAUGAUUCCUUGGGCAUUUUCCUCUUUUUUCUGUAUCAUUUAAUUCGCUUAGUCGUAAUGUGUUUUAUAUUUUUUUCUUGACCAUACAUUUUGCUAGUCUAAGUGUUUUUUCCCCUUAAUAAGCCACAACUUGAGGUAUUGUAUGGAAUGUUUGUUUGGAUUGGAUUUUAUUUCCCCAAAUUUAUUUGCUUACAUCAUCAUUACAAUUUCCAAUACACCUUUUUACCUUCCCAAUUACCUUUUUAUCUCACAUACAUCACAUCACAAAAAGUGUUACAGUAAAAAUAUCUCUAAUAAUUCACAAUCCAAACAGACUUGUGGAUUAACCUGAGUCCAUCGAUUGGUCUGAUUGUGGAGGGACUCGGGAGUCAUCUCAUUCUCCUAAGGUUUUUGUUUGGGUUGGGUACCCUUUCUUUUUCAAUCAAUUCCAGCAUUAAUGACCAAAUGCGGAGAGUUUUUUUUUUUUUUUGGGGUCAACAAAUGCGGAGAGCACGACAACGCGAAAUCUUAACCCAUUCUAGUUGAAUUUAUUCCAAUUAGAGUGUCUAAUCUUGAACAUAGAACACUACUAUGCUUCAUGAGAGUUUAUCAGAAAAUCAUUAAAACGAUUGAAAGUAUGGACUCAAAUGCAUCAACUCGUGGAAUGCUUGUGAACGAUAUUCUUGUAGACAUACAAAGUUUUGCAACCCGAGAAGCAUCAUGGGUGCCUAGAACAAUUAAUGUUGCUUUAUUGUUUUUGCUAAAUAUGCUUGUUCCAUUUCUGAUGAUUGUUUAUGGAGGAACUUUCCUCUAGAUUUUAUUAUUAUAACACUUACUGCAGAUAUUAUUUCAAAUUGAUGAAAUUACUCUUUUUUCAUAUAAAUUUUUUUUUCUAUUAGCCCCGCAAGUACAUGUGAGAGAAGUGGGAUGGAGCAGGAACGAGCGAUGGACGACGAAAUGGUGGCGGGGAAUGUUUGGGCAACGGGCGGGGGAAAGGUCCCUCGCCUUCCCCCAUGCCCGCCCUUGCCCCGUUACUAUUUCUACUAAUAUAAACAAGUUCCAUAUAUUAUAUAUUCAUAAAGAAUAAUAAUAAAUGUUUUUGGAUGGGAGAUUAUUUGAAAGAAAUUUUUGAAAAAAUAUUAUAGUAUUUUUUCUAAUGUAAUGCAUGUGAAAUAAAAAAAUAAUUAAAAAUAAAAAUUUAUUAAAAAAAUAUAUUUAUGAUACAGUUAAAUAAAUUUGGGAAAAUCGUUCAAAACGUCCCUCACAUUUUGCAAAAUAACUUUUUUCAUCUCUCACUUUUAAAAAUGUAAUUUUACAUCCCUUACAAAUUCAUAUUGGUCAAAUUUGAUCCCUACUUAGAUUUUCGACUAGUUUUUGGUCGGAAUUCACCACGUGUCUUGCACGUGAUCAUAUUUUAAGGGUAAAAUUGUCAAAUUAAAUUUUAUAUAAUUCGAUUCAUAAUCCUUCACAUUUCAUAAAAUAAAUUUUUUCUUCCCUUACAUAUCACAAAAUAAAUUUUUUCAUCCUUCACAUUUUUCAAAAUGAAUUUUUUCAUCUUUUAAUUGAUCAUGUGUGUGAAUAAUUUUUUUUAAAUCUAUGUAUAUAUCUAUUUGAUUUUACGUGAACAGUAUGAAUAGCAUGUGAAAUCAAAUAGAGAUAUAUUACAUACUAUUCAUACUGCUCUAGUGAAAUCAAAUAGAUAUAUAAAUGGGUUAAAAAAAUUGUUAGUUUUUCACUUAUAUUCAUUUUUUUUACUCGAAAUUUGAAAAUAAAGAAAAUAUUUAAUCCUAAAUAUUAUCAAGUGUUUAUAUCGAAUUAAAUUUGGACAAAAAAAUAAAUAAAAGAAAAUUAUGACAAAAAGAAAUAAGUGAUUGGCAUUUUCAAAUUGUAAAAUAAUCACAAGGGAUGUAAAAUUACAUUUUUAAAAGUGAGGGACGAAAAAAGUCAUCAUGUAAAAUGUGAGGGACGUUUUGAACGAUUUUCCCAAUAAAUUUUUAUAAAUAAUUAAAUUACCCAAACAGAUUCAAUGGCCGUGAAGUGGUCGUGUGUAAAUAAACUACGUGUGAUUUUUGCUCUAAAGUCUCAACUCUCAAGUCUCUCUCAAAUGUGGAAAGUGGUAGAAUGGUGUCAGAACUCAGAAACUCACUACUAUUUCCGAGUGUGAGAGGUGUGAAUGUACGACUGCGACGCACCCAAGCCCUUAUCAAGGAAACAGACGGCCAAGCCACUGUGGCUGGGUGGGUGGGAUGGAUCAUCAUCCCAGUACCUAUGUCUACGUGGUAGGGACAGGCUACCGCCACGUCGGCAGAUGCGGACCCCGCGGCUUCAGGCCAAUGGCCCCCCCAACCACCAGUACCUCCAGUUCCACCAUCACACCUCUGACUUUUCACUGAUUGUUAGUACUAUUAUUUUAUUACUCGAAAAGAAAGCAUAAACGGGUGGGCCUAACAUCUGAACAACGGCUAGCCCUGAACCGGUGACUGGUGAUCUGAAUAGUGAAUACCCCACUACUACAAAAGCCCCACUCUUUGGCACUAUUAGUCUCAAAAAAAUUUGGCAUUUGGGUCUCUAACCCGGAGUCUCCGUUUCAGCUGUCACCCGUAACCGGUAACAGUCGGCCGUGGCUGUCUCUACUCCGUGCGUCUCCGCCGCUAUAUCUCUCCUACUCCUGUAUUAUCAAAAUUCUUUAGCUCCUAAAACCCUUAAUUUUUAUUAGUAAUUACCCAGAAGACCAAAUUUAAGGAAGAGUUUUCUUGAUUUGUCCUGAUUAUAUACGUGUAGCAACCUUAGAAUGAAGCCCACUUGACCCAAGAGAAUUAGGCUAUGGAAGAUGUAGGAGGAGUCCAGAGGACUUGAAUUUGUGUCGAGUUUGGGGAGGAAAAGGGGAGGGAAAAAUGUCAGUUGCCGAGCUGAAGGAGAGGCACUUAGCCGCCACCCAGACUGUCAGUGCACUCAGGGACCAAUUGAAACAGAAGCGUCUUCUCCUUCUUGACACCGACGGUUGGUUCGCCUUCAUUCUUUUGUUUUUUUUUUUUGCUAUAUAUUUACUUGUUUGAAUUGUGGUGUUUAUCAAGGUAUAUGUCUUAGAUCUGGAAGAUGCUAAAUUUUUGUGUGGAAUUAUAUUAAUUACUAUUAAUUAUGGCUGUUGCAGUGGCGGGAUACUCUAGGUCGCAGGGUAGAACUCCGGUGAGCUUCGGCCCAACGGAUCUGGUUUGCUGUCGGACUCUGCAGGGCCAUAACGGCAAGGUUUUUCACUUGUCAUUCUCGUUUCCUCUUGUCACCUUUUCAUUUCGCUGGAUUCACUUUACUUGAUUAUCUAUCCUUGGCCUUGUGAUAUACAUAAUAUGUUAUUUUAUUCUUCAACCUAGGAAUUUGACAUACAUUCGACUGAUUGCUAUUCAUUACGGUGCCUCAUAAAGGCUCCAAACAGUUAGCAAGCUUUUCGGAUUAAGUUCUAAAUCUGGAAUUCGGCUGGGCAGGCCGCUGGGAAACUGUAAUUUGGCUAACUAUUUUCAUCAGAAAGCUGAUUUUGAUUCUUCUAAUACCAUAUGAUGCUGCAAUUGCCUGAUUUUGAUACGAUUAGAGACAAAAUCAUUUGGUUCUCCUUUUCUUAUGCUGUUCAGUGAAUUUUAAUUACAUUUCUUACAUUCCUUGCUUAUGUUACAAUAAUGGAAUUGAAAAGAGAGCUAAAUGUACCUUGGCAGGUGUAACUCUUAGAGUCAUUUGGCUUUCAAGCCACAAACACCCGCCCCCCCCCCCCCGGGGCGAAGGGGUUUAACCUUCCUCUUCGAUUUCAAGUCCAAUGAUCAAUUUGAGAAUAGUAACUGGUAGCUGAGAAUUCAUAGAGAAACUAAGCAAACAAAACAGAACUUUUGCUGCUUGGGAAGCAUGGUGCCUUUGAACAUGCUGACUUAAUUUGGAUUUAGAUGAAAAUUUUGCAUUGGUGUGACACUGGUAUUUCAAGUUUCAUUUUCUAUUGUCUCUGUGAUGACUGACAUAAACAUGAUUUAGAUGAAAUUUAUGUAAUUGAAGUGACACUAGUAUUUCAAGUUUCACUUGCUGUUUCAUUUGUGAUUAAUUAUACUAUAUAAACAUGUUUCAGGUGUAUUCGCUUGACUGGACUCCAGAAAAGAAUCGCAUUGUCAGUGCAUCCCAGGAUGGUCGAUUAAUAGUAUGGAACGCUCUCACAAGCCAAAAGACACAUGCUAUUAAGCUACCCUGUGCAUGGGUCAUGACUUGUGCCUUCUCACCGACUGGGCAGUCUGUUGCCUGUGGUGGACUCGACAGCGUUUGCUCCAUCUUUAACCUAAAUUCUCCAACUGACAGAGAUGGUAAUCUACCAGUGUCGAAAAUGCUUAGUGGGCAUAAGGGCUAUGUGUCAUCAUGUCAGUAUGUUCCUGAUGAAGAUGCACACUUAAUCACUAGCUCUGGAGAUCAAACAUGUGGCUUGUGGGAUAUAACUACAGGUCUUAGGACAUCUGUCUUUGGAGGUGAAUUUCAAUCUGGUCACACUGCUGAUGUGCUAAGGUAUAUUCAGACGUUAAUUAUGUUUUCUGUAUCUUAUUAUCUUCUUCUGCAUGAAGCAUUUGAUGUAGCAAUAACGCAUUGUCUUGGAACCAUUCUUGCUCUCUUUUUUUUUUAGUGUCUCCAUUAAUGGAUCAAAUUCAAGAAUGUUUGUGUCUGGGUCUUGUGAUUCAACUGCCCGUCUUUGGGACACUCGGGUUGCCAGUCGGGCUGUCCGGACCUUUCAUGGUCAUGAAGGAGAUGUUAAUGCUGUAAAAUUUUUCCCAGAUGGAAAUAGAUUUGGAACUGGUUCGGAUGAUGGAACUUGCAGAUUAUUCGAUAUUAGGACUGGGCAUCAGCUGCAAGUGUACUAUCAGCAACAUGGGGAUAAUGAGGUGCCGCCUGUUACUUCAAUUGCAUUUUCAAUUUCUGGCAGACUUCUUUUUGCUGGGUAUUCAAAUGGUGAUUGCUAUGUAUGGGAUACCUUAUUGGGACAGGUACUUGGUACUUUUACCUUUUUUACUAAUUAGCAUGCAUCCGUUUCAAAAUUGUCCAAUUUUUUGGGCUGAAACUUUCACUAAUCAAUUUUAACCCGUUUCAAAUAUUAAUCAGUUCCACUUUGAUAUUUUUCUUCCUUUCUCCCAUUAACCCAGUAUAGCGUGUUUUCUCCUUCUUACCCUUUCUCUAUUUUUUUAAUGCUAUUGCAUGACAAAUUUAUACGUGCAGUAACAUUAUUGUUUUGAAUUGUGAGGUGGUGUGUAGGAAGGAUAUACCUGCAGUUGCUUAAAAAUCCGAACUCGUGAGGUUAAAAAUGAGUUCAAGAAAAGGUCCGUUUUGGUCCCAACUCCCAAGUGAACACCUCACAUUCUGUACUGAGGCUAAAAUUAAAAAAAAAAAAACCAAUCUUUGAGAAGUAAACGAGCUAUUUCAUGACAUUCUUUUGAAAUAAUCUAGCAAAUUUUGCAAUUUGAUGCUCAUCCAUGAUUUUAAGUACCAAUUCUAUGUUCUCCCAGCUCAUUGCCUGACUUUUUGAAGUUGCCUUGUACUCUGUCUUGAUAGGUCGUUUUGAAUCUAGGAACUCUUCAAAAUUCUCAUGAGGGUCGCAUUAGUUGUUUGGGAUUGUCAGCUGAUGGCAGUGCUUUAUGUACAGGAAGUUGGGAUUCAAACUUGAAGGUUAGAGAAUUGAUUGGCAUGUUUGCACAAAAUUUCUAUACUCUCACUGUGUGCGUCCAUGUAUGUGUGCGUGUGUGAGCACAACAAUCAGCUCUUUUUAUUUACUUGUGCAAGGGUCAACUGCAAUUCUUAUCUUUCACUCCUAUUUCUUUCAGAUCUGGGCUUUUGGAGGGCAUAGAAAAGUGAUCUAAAGAUUCAACUUUUGAUUUCCCUAACGAAUAGGCUCCUGAUUCACCGUCCGUGUGUACGGUUCUUGUACACCAGUAAGCUACUGUGUGCCAGGGAUUAUAAUUUUGUCCUACAUUUAACCUUGUGCAUUGUGACUUGUGUAUUGCAGAAAUAAUACACAUAUAUGUAUAUUUUUUUUUAUGAAGGCCAAUUGUGAAUUCACCGAUUAUUUUGUCAUUAAGUGUCUCACCUGUGUCUGCAUUUGAAAGUCUACAAGCCAGCUUUAGUGAUGCUUACAGCAGGUUAUGGUUUCAAAAAAUAGGUAAAAAAAAAGGAGUUUAAAAAAAAGGAUUCUAUUCUAUACAAAUAGAAUGGAAAAAAGAGUUUAAAAAAAGAAAGUUAGUACCAUACGAUAGUUGCUUUACCAUGUAAUCAAUCAAUCCAAUCGUCUGAGGGGGAGAAUUUGCUAAAGUUGCCACGGUAAAAAAGAGCGAUGUUAGCUUUAACAAAUUAAAUUAAAUAGCGGGAGUUGAAGAACAAAAGAAACGUUUUUUUUUUUUGCUGCUGGACACAGAUGAAUUUUAUUAUACAUCUAUUUUUACUCUAUAUUUGGGGAAAGAGAAUCCAAAGAGGUUAAUGGGAGAAUUUGAAAGGGUUGAAUCACUACUGGUUCAAACGGAUGUCUACACACUCCUAGAAAAAUCUGAAUAUUUAAAAUGUAGAUCAAGGGAUUUGGUUUUAAAACUCUUUUAGUUGUCAGCUGCUUCCAAGAGCUGUUGGUUAAGAAAACAUGGGGUUUGUUUGGACAGUAGAUUAUUUGGUUAAAUAUAUUUGCUGACAUCACCAUUAUAAUUUUCAAUACAGUUUUUUAUCUUUUCAAUUAUCUUUUUAUCUCACACACAUCACAUUACAAAAAGUGCUACAGUAAUUAUUCCAAAUAAUACCCUAUUGAGGAAACCUCACCUCACAGUUAAGUCUAAUUUAACAGUAUUUGCAUUCUCAACUUUCUUGUUCAGUUUCAUUGGAAUCGUAAUAUUGAGGUGAACACAUCCGCUCCAAAUUUUGUACACACAUCUCUCAAUGAAGAAAAUCACCGAGUAUCGUCGAGUAAAUUGUGUAGAUUGCUGAAUAAAACGUACAUUUUGGUUUUCAGUCCAUGUGACUGAAUUUUUAUUUUUAUUUUUUAAAAAAAUUCCAUGUCAUACAACCUAACGUACUCUCCAUGUGACUGAAUUUUUGUGUUGGGACUUGGGGCAAACGGUAUCAUUAAGGACGCACUAAUUAUGGUUUCCACGGAUGAUAUGUUCUUCGUGGCCUGAAAAAAGAAAAGAAAAAAGAAAAAAAAGAUAAAGUACUCCAUCCUCUUUGUGAUAACGGCCACAGAUGUUUUGAGAGAAACAAAACAUGCUGCAGUCUGCUCCUCUUGCCCAGCCAAUCCGCUCCUUCUCUUCAGAGAAAAGCCCAAAUUGUAGGUCUCAAUCCCCAUCCUCAAAACCUCCCUUCCACUUCCUGAGGUUUCGGACAUCUUAUCGGGAUAAUCUACGGUACCUCAAUUCCAUCGGCAUCAUCAAUUCAGAUAAGAAGAUUCACCGAAACCCAUCCCCAGAAACCUUACUCCACAUCCUCUCCACUGUAAACUUCCUGAAAUCUAAAGGCUUUUCCGAAUCCCAUUUUGCUAGACUUGCUUAUCUCACUCCUCAGGUAUUUUCUCCUCAAGUUAACCCGGCUGAUUUGCAGCCCGUCUUUGAUUUCUUAACGACUGAGUUAGCUGCAUCAGAGGAAGAAUCCCGCGAUCUGAUUCUAUUAUGCCCUCACAUUCUUCAGUCCAAUGUUCAGUUUUGUCUGAGGCCUACCCUUUUGUAUCUUAGAGAUAUAGGUGUAGAAAGUUUGAACAAGCCCACUAAUUUAAAUGCUCAUCUUCUAAAUACCCGCGUUAAGAGAUUGGAAGACACGGCCAAGUUUUUGCUGGACAUCGGGUUCUCUCAAGAAGAGGCGACUAAAUUUUGUGGGAGGCUACCGGCCAUAUUUGGCUAUAGCAUCGACAACAAUUUGUUGCCCAAGUUUGAGUAUUUAGUCGGGGAGAUGGAAAGGAGUCUUGAUGAAUUAAAGGGGUUUCCUCAGUAUUUCGCUUUCAGCUUGGAAAAGCGGAUUAAGCCGAGGCAUCUGCAUCUGAAGAGAAGGAAUGUUGUGGUCAAGGAGGUUCCUUUGAAAAAAAUGUUGAUGUGGAAUGAUAAAAAAUUCUAUGCAAAAUGGAACUGGUGAGUUUCUGCCUUGAAUUUCUAUGAAUUGUCGCUAGUCCGGGGCUUCACUAUUUUAGACCAGCGAAGCACUAUAGAAUUUUUUUAUUUUUUUGGUCUAUUUAAGGUUUUGUUGUUGCACUGCUAUUGGCGGCCCGUGUCACAUGGAAGGAUGUCGGAAGCAUGGUAGGGAGUGUCCAAUUAAACGAGAGCAAAUUGUAUAAUGAAUCAUGAUUUUCGUCGAUUGUGCUGUAAAGUUGAAAUCAAGACCUAAAAAGAGUUAUAUGCUGCUAAGAGUUAUAUAACCGAUUUUAAGCCUUAGCAAAUCUAUAACCGAUUUCACAUCUCUGGAAAGAGUUAUAUGCUGCUAGAUCACCCAUCCGCCGUUUAUAUCACCCGGAACUUCACAGCUUCCUUGUGGCGACGUCAUUGUUAGGUGCGAAACGUCAAAAAGGAAUUAUCAAAGCCGAGAGGAUGCUGGAUUCAAUUGGUCCAUGACCACUUUUCUAUCUGCCUUCAGUGCACUCUUACCUCAAUCUUGCUCUUGACGCCACCUAUUUAAUUCGCGUAUUUACUGGUUAUCCACAUGGCAAAACGACGAAAGAAGAGGCUGAAAUUAAGCGUCAAUUAUACACAACAGGAAGGGAUCAUAUUUCGAUCUAUAGCCUAUUUCACCAUCUCCAAGAGUAUCCUGGUACUUAAUUCUCAUAUCUGCAUAUGCACGCCAAAGUGAAAGCCAUCCGGUCCCUAAAUUCAUAAAUGAAUACUACACAAGGCAAUUUGCCAAAUAUCAAAAUGGCAAUAGUGCAACGGAAAAGUAAGGCUAUUAAUUCAAAAUUCAUAUAUUGAAAUUGAUUCCACUCCUAAGACUCUUCCAAGCAAAAAGGAAACUAACUGUAGUGAUUGAUCGCAUCAGUAAGCUGUAUUCCCCUCCGUU